Molecule: ribosomal RNA, 1256 nt
Filed under: Bacillus altitudinis
Lineage: Bacteria; Bacillati; Bacillota; Bacilli; Caryophanales; Bacillaceae
Description: bacterial SSU rRNA
Rfam family: Bacterial small subunit ribosomal RNA
Source: RNAcentral
GCGGCGGACGGGUGAGUAACACGUGGGUAACCUGCCUGUAAGACUGGGAUAACUCCGGGAAACCGGAGCUAAUACCGGAUAGUUCCUUGAACCGCAUGGUUCAAGGAUGAAAGACGGUUUCGGCUGUCACUUACAGAUGGACCCGCGGCGCAUUAGCUAGUUGGUGAGGUAACGGCUCACCAAGGCGACGAUGCGUAGCCGACCUGAGAGGGUGAUCGGCCACACUGGGACUGAGACACGGCCCAGACUCCUACGGGAGGCAGCAGUAGGGAAUCUUCCGCAAUGGACGAAAGUCUGACGGAGCAACGCCGCGUGAGUGAUGAAGGUUUUCGGAUCGUAAAGCUCUGUUGUUAGGGAAGAACAAGUGCAAGAGUAACUGCUUGCACCUUGACGGUACCUAACCAGAAAGCCACGGCUAACUACGUGCCAGCAGCCGCGGUAAUACGUAGGUGGCAAGCGUUGUCCGGAAUUAUUGGGCGUAAAGGGCUCGCAGGCGGUUUCUUAAGUCUGAUGUGAAAGCCCCCGGCUCAACCGGGGAGGGUCAUUGGAAACUGGGAAACUUGAGUGCAGAAGAGGAGAGUGGAAUUCCACGUGUAGCGGUGAAAUGCGUAGAGAUGUGGAGGAACACCAGUGGCGAAGGCGACUCUCUGGUCUGUAACUGACGCUGAGGAGCGAAAGCGUGGGGAGCGAACAGGAUUAGAUACCCUGGUAGUCCACGCCGUAAACGAUGAGUGCUAAGUGUUAGGGGGUUUCCGCCCCUUAGUGCUGCAGCUAACGCAUUAAGCACUCCGCCUGGGGAGUACGGUCGCAAGACUGAAACUCAAAGGAAUUGACGGGGGCCCGCACAAGCGGUGGAGCAUGUGGUUUAAUUCGAAGCAACGCGAAGAACCUUACCAGGUCUUGACAUCCUCUGACAACCCUAGAGAUAGGGCUUUCCCUUCGGGGACAGAGUGACAGGUGGUGCAUGGUUGUCGUCAGCUCGUGUCGUGAGAUGUUGGGUUAAGUCCCGCAACGAGCGCAACCCUUGAUCUUAGUUGCCAGCAUUCAGUUGGGCACUCUAAGGUGACUGCCGGUGACAAACCGGAGGAAGGUGGGGAUGACGUCAAAUCAUCAUGCCCCUUAUGACCUGGGCUACACACGUGCUACAAUGGACAGAACAAAGGGCUGCGAGACCGCAAGGUUUAGCCAAUCCCACAAAUCUGUUCUCAGUUCGGAUCGCAGUCUGCAACUCGACUGCGUGAAGCCUGGAAUCGCUA